RNAcentral lists this transfer RNA (72 nucleotides) under Camelus bactrianus (Bactrian camel). It matches the Rfam family "tRNA". Rfam says of the family: Transfer RNA (tRNA) molecules are approximately 80 nucleotides in length. RNAcentral also lists the same sequence under 2 other names. Lineage: Eukaryota; Metazoa; Chordata; Mammalia; Artiodactyla; Camelidae. The record is from Rfam by way of RNAcentral.
UGAGGUAUAGUUCAGUGGAAGAAUGUGUGCCUAACAUGCAGGAGGUCCUGAGUUCAAUCACCAGUACCUCCA